GACGAACGCUGGCGGCGUGCCUAACACAUGCAAGUCGAACGGAAAGGCCCGGCUUUUGUGGGGUGGUCGAGUGGCGACGGGGGGAGUAACACGUGAGUAACCUGUACCUGACUGUGGGAUAUCUUCAGGAAACAGAGUCUCAUACCGCCUAGGAUCUCUUGCUGCAUGGUGGGCGUGGGUUAGAUUCGGUGGUUGGGGGUGGAAUCGCGGCUUAUCAGCUUGUUGGUGGGGUAGUGGAUGACCAAGGCUAUGACGGGUAGCCGGCCUGGGAGGGUGACCGGCCACGUUAGGCCUGAGAUAAGGCCCAGACUCGAACGGGACGCAAAGGAGGAGAGUAUUACACAAUAGGCGGGAGGCAGGUGUAGCAACGCCGUGUGCGGGAAGACGUGCUUCGGGUAGUGAACCGAUGUUGCCUGAGACGAGGCGAUAGUGACGGUAACGGGUAAAGAAGCACCGGCUAACUACGUG
Molecule: ribosomal RNA, 468 nt
Filed under: uncultured bacterium
Lineage: Bacteria
Description: partial 16S ribosomal RNA
Rfam family: Bacterial small subunit ribosomal RNA
Source: RNAcentral